This 497-nucleotide ribosomal RNA is filed under the name uncultured bacterium. RNAcentral's name for it is "partial 16S ribosomal RNA". It matches the Rfam family "Bacterial small subunit ribosomal RNA", at positions 28 to 507 of the family's 1533-position model. The record is from RNAcentral.
GAUGAACGCUGGCGGCGUGCCUAAUACAUGCAAGUCGAGCGAACAGACGAGGAGCUUGCUCCUCUGACGUUAGCGGCGGACGGGUGAGUAACACGUGGAUAACCUACCUAUAAGACUGGGAUAACUUCGGGAAACCGGAGCUAAUACCGGAUAAUAUAUUGAACCGCAUGGUUCAAUAGUGAAAGACGGUUUUGCUGUCACUUAUAGAUGGAUCCGCGCCGCAUUAGCGAGUUGGUAAGGUAACGGCUUACCAAGGCAACGAUGCGUAGCCGACCUGAGAGGGUGAUCGGCCACACUGGAACUGAGACACGGUCCCGACUCCUACGGGAGGCCGCAGUAGGGAAUCUUCCGCAAUGGGCGACAGCCUGACGGAGCCCCGCCGCGUGAGUGAUGAAGGUCUUCGGAUCGUAAAACUCUGUUAUUAGGGAAGAACAAAUGUGUAAGUAACUAUGCACGUCUUGACGGUACCUAAUCAGAAAGCCACGGCUAACUACGUG